Non-coding RNA from Lonchura striata (white-rumped munia), 248 nucleotides. NCBI's taxonomy places the organism in Eukaryota, Metazoa, Chordata, Aves, Passeriformes, Estrildidae. The record is from RefSeq and is a predicted model, not a curated record.
CUGCUACCUGCACGUGGACAUGAUGAAGAGGAUGAACCCCAAGGAGGGCAGGAAGCAAUUCCUGGAGUUCUGUCACUUGUUCCUGGACAAGACCGGGCUCCUGCGGGUGCCCGUCCCACACCACGUCCAGUUUGAGCUGGAGCGGACGCGGCCGGAGCUGCUGCCCGAGGAGGCGCAGCGCCGCUUCCUGCAGGACAUCCAGAGCUUCCAGGAGCCGGAGAUCGCGCGGCAGCUGGAGGACUUCAGGU